RNAcentral lists this ribosomal RNA (650 nucleotides) under uncultured bacterium. RNAcentral's name for it is "bacterial SSU rRNA". It matches the Rfam family "Bacterial small subunit ribosomal RNA", at positions 74 to 741 of the family's 1533-position model. The record is from RNAcentral.
GUCAGGCUUCGGUGCAGUAGAGUAGCGAAAGGGCGAGGAACAACUACCUAACGUGCCUUCAGGUAAGGGAUAGCUCAUGGAAACGUGUGGUAAUACCUUAUAAUCUCAUUUCUUCAUAUGGAGUUUUGAGCAAAGGCUUGCUGCCUGAAGAUCGGGGUAGUUCCUAUCAGCUUGUUGGCGAGGUAAUGGCUCACCAAGGCGAAGACGGGUAGCUGGUGUGAGAGCACGACCAGCCGCAUCGGGACUGAGACACUGCCCGGACUCCUACGGGAGGCUGCAGUAACGAAUAUUCCGCAAUGCGCGAAAGCGUGACGGAGCAAUGCCGCGUGUGGGAUGAAGCAUCUAGGUGUGUAAACCACUGUCAGGGUUUAGGAAACAAAUGACCAGACCCAAAGGAAGAGCCGGCUAACUCUGUGCCAGCAGCCGCGGUAAUACAGAGGGCUCAAGCGUUAAUCGGAAUCACUGGGCUUAAAGGGUCCGCAGGCGGAUUGGUAAGUAUCUUGUGAAAUACCAUGGCUCAACCAUGGAAUUGCUCGGUAAACUGCCAAUCUUGAACACGGUAGGGGCCAUCGGAACUCUAGGUGGAGCGGUGAAAUGCGUAGAUAUCUAGAGGAACGCCAGAGGCGAAGGCGGAUGGCUGGGCCGUUGUU